RNAcentral lists this long non-coding RNA (216 nucleotides) under Elaeis guineensis (African oil palm). RNAcentral's name for it is "long non-coding RNA (EGUI_LNC054380)". The record is from RNAcentral. Lineage: Eukaryota; Viridiplantae; Streptophyta; Magnoliopsida; Arecales; Arecaceae.
CAGCAGCAUCGAUAGUGACAACAGCAGUAGUGGGUCUAUCUAAUGCUCGUGGUCGAUAUACUUCUCAGUCAUUCUAGUGUGCACCACCUUCUCAGCCACCACCUAUCUCUCAGCUAUCCACUUCCACUCAGCCCACACCUAGACCACUAUUUAGGACCUUCACUAGAUCUAGUGUAGGGUUUCCAUUCUUUGUGAUUGGCCCCUUUACCAGGACCA